CAUGCACGUCUAAGUACUCGCCUUGGUCUAUUUAAAGUGAAACCGCGAAUGGCUCAUUAAAUCAGUUAUGGUUCACUGGACCGUACCACAUCCUACUCGGAUAACUGUGGUAAUUCUAGAGCUAAUACAUGCAACUAGGCCCUGCCCGGCCGCYCCGUCCGUCAAAACGACGGUCGGUCGGAAAGGGCGCCAUUAUCAGCUCAAAACCGACCGGGUCGCCCGCCGUCCUCUGGACGGGCAGGGCUCCCGUUCUCGUUGACCCUUUGACGACUCUGGAUAACCUCCUAGCGGAUCGCCGAUCAAACUUAGGUCGGCCGGGUGUUUCGGCAUUCGCGCCCGACCUAACGGCGACUGGUCUUUCGAAUGUCUGCCUUAUCAACUGUCGACGGUAGGUUAGACGCCUACCGUGGUCGUAACGGGUGACGGGGAAUCAGGGUUCGAUUCCGGAGAGGGAGCCUGAGAAACGGCUACCACAUCCAAGGAAGGCAGCAGGCACGCAAAUUACCCAAUCCCCGAACGGGGAGGUAGUGACGAAAAAUAACGAUACGGGACUCUUAACGAGGCCUCGUAAUCGGAAUGAGUCCGCUCUAAAUCCUUUUAACGAGGAUCUAUCGGAGGGCAAGUCUGGUGCCAGCAGCCGCGGUAAUUCCAGCUCCGAUAGCGUAUAUUAAAGUUGCUGCGGUUAAAAAGCUCGUAGUUGGAUUUGGGUUUUCGGGCCGGCGGGCCGCCGCCUUCGAGCGGCGCGUCUCCCGCCGCGCCCCCGGAACCGCACGGUCGCAGAGGCCCCCGCGGUGCUCUUGAGUGAGUGUCCGCCGGUUCGGGUCGCCGAACGUUUACUUUGAAAAAAUUAGAGUGCUCCAGGCAGGCCGGUAAAGCGUUGUUUAAAAAAGACCCGCGCCUGAAUAGUCACGCAUGGAAUAAUGAAAGAGGACCGGUGGUCCUAUUUUGUUGGUUUUCGGGAUUUUCCGCCGUCAUGAUUAAGAGGGACGGCCGGGGGCAUUCGUACCGCGGCGCGAGAGGUGAAAUUCUAGGACCGCCGCGAGACGAACCGUUGCGAAAGCAUUUGCCAAGAAUGUUUUCCUUAAUCAAGAACGAAAGUCAGAGGUUCGAAGGCGAUCAGAUACCGCCCUAGUUCUGACCGUAAACGAUGCCACCUGACGAUCCGCCAGGGUUACUACCAUGACUCGGCGGGCAGCCCCCGGGAAACCCAAGCCUUCGGGUUCCGGGGGAAGUAUGGUUGCAAAGCUGAAACUUAAAGGAAUUGACGGAAGGGCACCACCAGGAGUGGAGCCUGCGGCUUAAUUUGACUCAACACGGGAAACCUCACCCGGCCCGGACACCGCGAGGAUUGACAGAUUGAGAGCUCUUUCUCGAUUCGGUGGGUGGUGGUGCAUGGCCGUUCUUAGUUGGUGGAGCGAUUUGUCUGGUUAAUUCCGAUAACGAACGAGACUCUAGCCGGUUAAGUAGCCCGGAGCGGUUUUUGAUCUUUGCCGUCCGUCCUCCGUCCUACCUUUUUUUUCCCGUCCUCGGCCGACCGGCCACGGAGGGAAAAGGGAAAGGCGAGGAGGUGGUCAUCCGUGGUGGUUUUUC
Molecule: ribosomal RNA, 1590 nt
Filed under: Kumbadjena toolbrunupensis
Lineage: Eukaryota; Metazoa; Onychophora; Udeonychophora; Euonychophora; Peripatopsidae
Description: SSU rRNA
Rfam family: Eukaryotic small subunit ribosomal RNA
Source: RNAcentral